UUCUGUUCUGGACACGUUAAGCUUGAGGACACUGGAGAUCAAGUGUAGUAUCUGUUCUUAUCAGUUUAACAUCUGAUACGUCCUCUAUCUGAGGGCAAUAUAUUAAAUGGACUUUUGGAACAGGGAGAUUAUUUUAUUAUUAUAUUAUUUUGUUAAUGAGGUGUACAUCCC
RNAcentral lists this small nuclear RNA (171 nucleotides) under Ornithorhynchus anatinus (platypus). RNAcentral describes it as "U2 spliceosomal RNA (ENSOANG00000036394.1)". It matches the Rfam family "U2 spliceosomal RNA". Rfam says of the family: U2 is a small nuclear RNA (snRNA) component of the spliceosome (involved in pre-mRNA splicing). Complementary binding between U2 snRNA (in an area lying towards the 5' end but 3' to hairpin I) and the branchpoint sequence (BPS) of the intron results the bulging out of an unpaired adenosine, on the BPS, which initiates a nucleophilic attack at the intronic 5' splice site, thus starting the first of two transesterification reactions that mediate splicing. Lineage: Eukaryota; Metazoa; Chordata; Mammalia; Monotremata; Ornithorhynchidae. The record is from Rfam by way of RNAcentral.